This 638-nucleotide small RNA is filed under the name Pongo abelii (Sumatran orangutan). Its description in RNAcentral is "retained intron". Lineage: Eukaryota; Metazoa; Chordata; Mammalia; Primates; Hominidae. The record is from RNAcentral.
GACUAGUGAUCUCAGUAGUUAUGCAAUACAGGGGUAAUAUUUUAAUAUCUACUUUUUUCUUUGGCUGUUUCAGGUCAUGGGAGAUAAUCUGCUGCUGUCAUCCGUCUUUCAGUUCUCUAAGAAGAUAAGACAAUCUAUAGAUAAGACAGCUGGAAAGAUCAGAAUAUUAUUUAAAGACAAAGAUCGGAAUUGGGAUGACAUAGAAAGCAAAUUAAGAGCCGAAAGUGAAGUCCCUAUUGUGAAAACCUCAAGCAUGGAGAUUUCUUCUAUCUUACAGGAACUGAAAAGAGUAGAAAAGCAGCUACAAGCAAUCAAUGCUAUGAUUGAUCCUGAUGGAACUUUGGAGGCUCUGAACAACAUGGGAUUUCCCAGUGCUAUGUUGCCAUCUCCACCGAAACAGAAGUCCAGCCCUGUGAAUAACCACCACAGCCCGGGUCAGACACCAACACUUGGCCAACCAGAAGCUAGGGCUCUUCAUCCUGCUGCUGUUUCAGCCUCAGCUGAAUUUGAGAAUGCUGAAUCUGAGGCUGAUUUCAGUAUACAUUUCAAUAGAUUCAACCCCGAUGGGGAAGAGGAAGAUGUUACAGCACAUGAAUGACUUUCUCUUGAUUGUUGAAAAAUCAUUACCUGUGGAAUGA